CCGGGGCCGGGGCGGAUGAAUGGGACUGGGCCGGGUCUGGGGCCGGGCCGAGGCACUACGAGCAGGGCUUCGAGGGGUGUUGCUGACUGGUGGGACAGACCAGCCUUCUGCCACCUGCUGCUGGCGUGGGCGAGAACGCGACCCCCUAAAACGUGUCCCUGAACCCAGCGAGGCUGCCGGGAAUUGCAGGGAAGCGUCUUCCAUGGGGUUGGUCGACCUUUCCCAAGCAAACCCUGCACAAGUGAUUCAAAUCAGAGCAAAAUACAGCUGGAUGUGGCAUCCCGGUGCCGGGAGAGGGGGUCGCGGGAGAAACGUUACCCAGCCAUGGGGUUUCAUGGGACAGAGCAGCUUUCAUAGUCCUGGUUGUUGAAGAAAACCCCAAGAAAUAAAAUAUGAACAUCAGAAGCACUUGAGCCAACCCAUGAACAAAUAAUUUUAAUAUUUAUUUAGCAGACUGUAGUUUUUUCGGAGCUCUACAGUCUCCUCUCUUUGAAGUUGGACAGAUACAGUAAACACAACAAAUAUAUGAUACAACCCAUCACAGCUGGAUUAAAAAAAAUACACAAAAAAUAUAAUACAUAAAAAAUUGGAUUUUUAACAUUGUGGACUGACACAGCUCUAAAAAUGGUGAUUGUAACCCUGGUAAGCUUUACAAAGUCUUUAAAAAAAUAAAACAGUACUUCAUGUGAAA
Molecule: long non-coding RNA, 691 nt
Organism: Pipra filicauda (Wire-tailed manakin)
Lineage: Eukaryota; Metazoa; Chordata; Aves; Passeriformes; Pipridae
Exons: 2
Source: RefSeq, a predicted model, not a curated record